Molecule: unclassified non-coding RNA, 283 nt
Filed under: plant metagenome
Description: partial contains small subunit ribosomal RNA, internal transcribed spacer 1, and 5.8S ribosomal RNA
Source: RNAcentral
UUUCCGUAGGUGAACCUGCGGAAGGAUCAUUGUCGAAACCUGCCCAGCAGAACGACCCGCGAACUUGUAUAAACAACUGGGGGCGGGGGGGCGUUCUUGCCCCGUGCCCCCGAACGGCGGGGAGACACUCGUGCCUUCUUGCCGAACAACGAACCCCGGCGCGGUCUGCGCCAAGGAACUUCAACUAAAGAGUGCCUCCGGUCGCCUCGGAAACGGCGUGCGUGCCGGAGGCGAAUCUUGUGCAAAACCAUAACGACUCUCGGCAACGGAUAUCUCGGCUCUC